This 546-nucleotide ribosomal RNA is filed under the name Anaerolineae bacterium. Its description in RNAcentral is "partial 23S ribosomal RNA". It matches the Rfam family "Bacterial large subunit ribosomal RNA", at positions 1069 to 1603 of the family's 2925-position model. Lineage: Bacteria; Bacillati; Chloroflexota; Anaerolineae. The record is from RNAcentral.
AAGGAUGUGGAAUUGCACAGACAACCAGGAUGUUGGCUUAGAAGCAGCCAUCAUUUAAAGAGUGCGUAAUUGCUCACUGGUCAAGUGACUCCGCGCCGAUAAUUCACGGGACUCAAGCCUACCGCCGAAGCUACGGUCCCGUCACCGCAAGGUGAUGGGAGGUAGGGGAACGUUCCAGUUGCCUGCGAAGGUGCUUCGUGAGAAGCGCUGGAGGUCCUGGAAAUGACUAUGCCAGCAUAAGUAGCGAGAAUUCCGGUGAGAAACCGGAACACCGUAAGUCUAAGGUUUCCUGAGUAAAGUUAAUCUGCUCAGGGUUAGUCGGUCCCUAAGCCGAGGCCGAAAGGCGUAGGCGAUGGAAAACAGGUUAAUAUUCCUGUACCACUGGAAGAGCGUUUUAGCAAUGGGGGGACGUAGAAGGGUAGGCCAUCCGGGUGAUGGAUGUCCCGGUUCAAGCCGGUAGGAGGAGUUUCCAGGCAAAUCCGGAAACUCAUUCAACUCCGAGAAGUGACGAGGAGAGGUUUUACCUCAUAAACUGGCUGAUCCCAC